Molecule: transfer RNA, 92 nt
Filed under: Candidatus Saccharimonadota bacterium
Lineage: Bacteria; Candidatus Saccharimonadota
Description: tRNA-Ser
Rfam family: tRNA
About the family: Transfer RNA (tRNA) molecules are approximately 80 nucleotides in length. Their secondary structure includes four short double-helical elements and three loops (D, anti-codon, and T loops). Further hydrogen bonds mediate the characteristic L-shaped molecular structure. tRNAs have two regions of fundamental functional importance: the anti-codon, which is responsible for specific mRNA codon recognition, and the 3' end, to which the tRNAs corresponding amino acid is attached (by aminoacyl-tRNA synthetases). tRNAs cope with the degeneracy of the genetic code in two manners: having more than one tRNA (with a specific anti-codon) for a particular amino acid; and 'wobble' base-pairing, i.e. permitting non-standard base-pairing at the 3rd anti-codon position.
Source: RNAcentral
GGAAGAGUGGCCGAGUGGUUGAAGGCGCACGAUUCGAAAUCGUGUAAGCGGAGUAAUUCGUUUCGAGGGUUCGAAUCCCUCCUCUUCCGCCA